GACUUAGUAGCUUAAUUGGUAAAGUACUUCCUUGUCAAGGAAGGAGAUGUCGGUCCGAAUCCGACUUGAGUCG
Molecule: transfer RNA, 73 nt
Filed under: Scopulariopsis brevicaulis (arsenic fungus)
Lineage: Eukaryota; Fungi; Ascomycota; Sordariomycetes; Microascales; Microascaceae
Also listed under: 1 other name
Description: tRNA-Asp
Rfam family: tRNA
About the family: Transfer RNA (tRNA) molecules are approximately 80 nucleotides in length. Their secondary structure includes four short double-helical elements and three loops (D, anti-codon, and T loops). Further hydrogen bonds mediate the characteristic L-shaped molecular structure. tRNAs have two regions of fundamental functional importance: the anti-codon, which is responsible for specific mRNA codon recognition, and the 3' end, to which the tRNAs corresponding amino acid is attached (by aminoacyl-tRNA synthetases). tRNAs cope with the degeneracy of the genetic code in two manners: having more than one tRNA (with a specific anti-codon) for a particular amino acid; and 'wobble' base-pairing, i.e. permitting non-standard base-pairing at the 3rd anti-codon position.
Source: RNAcentral